Long non-coding RNA from Ictalurus punctatus (channel catfish), 1420 nucleotides. The record is from Ensembl. NCBI's taxonomy places the organism in Eukaryota, Metazoa, Chordata, Actinopteri, Siluriformes, Ictaluridae.
UAUAAACAAAAAUGAUUUCAUAUUUGAUUUGUCAAGCACUUUUAAUAUGGCUUAAUUUACAUAUAAGAAGUUUUCCAAUACAUAAACUUCUAAAGGCCAAAUUCAAGCAACUUGUACAAAGCCCUGGUCAGGAUCAAGGACCCUUAAUUUUACCACAAAAUUUAAAGUACAUUUAUAAAACUCCAUAUUCCCCACAAUGUAACUCAUUUAAUAAUUUUGUACUCAAACUCCACUUAAUGCAAAGACAAGGAACAAACAAUGCAUCCACUUCAAAGUUUUAUUUCAGCAAAAAAACAAAAAAAAAACCCCACAGGUUUUGAUCACUACAUAGACAUUCAAAUAGAAUCACUGGACAAUCUUUAAUUCUGCAUUGGUUUCAAAACUUGACAUCAUCUCUGCCACCCCAGAUCCAUUAUCUGCUGUGGAUAGAAGGGUGGAAUAAGUAAAAUACUCAAAUGGUCAUAUUUUAAUGAAAGUUCGAGAAAUUUAUUAUUAAUAUGUUAAGGCUCACCAGUAGACAGUUUGAGAAUCAUGACACCCCAGUCCAACAUCAAAUCAGAUCUGUAAAUACUUUGAUAUGGUGCUCAGGUGGUCAUUUUAAUCCUACAAAAAAAAAAAAAAAAAAAAAAAAAAAAAAAAAAAGUUAGAUUUCACAUCCCAAAGAGUCAAUUUAGGGCAUUUUAUAAUAAUUCAGCAGGAUGUUGGUGUUCAGAAAACCGAUGAUCACCACUGAACAUUCUGACGGUAAUUCCAGCUCAUUGUCAGUUUAGGUUUUCAUCAUGACACCAACUAUAUGAUUCCAACACAUAGCAAGAUCACUUGCCUUGCUGAUACCAGGGGUUCUGCGAUGGAUUGAAGCACCAGGAUGUUUGACCUACAGGACACAAAGCUAGUAAGAACAAACACUGUACGGAUACAAGUGAUAAAUUAUUCUUUCAUGUCUCUCGGAUUAAUAGCGAAUAAAAUCGUCAGUUAUCGCAUAAGACGGCACUUCCUACUCAAGGUUUUCAUCACAGAGACACUCAAGUUGCUGAAGAGAUUAAAUCACUAAAACCCACAUUGCGCUCCGUGAUGUUUAGAGUGAAGAGCCGUGGUCAUAAAGGACUUCUUAUUAGCUAGCCAUCAUGGCGGCGUAGGAUGGCUAGCGCCAUUAGCACUAGAUCAUGUUCAUUCCUAACAAAAAUAAACAGAACCAAGUUAACACAAAAAACAGCAAUACACCUCAGCUAUGAUAAUUCAAUCGUCGCCAUUUUGUUUAUCACAUGUGUAAAGAAAAUGUUAUCAACUGACCGUAGCUUUGCAGCGUCUGGAACCACGUGGUGGAUCCACAAUCAUCCAUAAAAGACAAACUAAUCCAGCUUGGACUUCCCGUCAACCAACCAUUAGAACCGUUAAAAAUUCGAAACAUGUUCAAGUACAG